Nanorana parkeri is the source of this 152-nucleotide long non-coding RNA. RefSeq lists it as uncharacterized. NCBI's taxonomy places the organism in Eukaryota, Metazoa, Chordata, Amphibia, Anura, Dicroglossidae. The record is from RefSeq and is a predicted model, not a curated record. The transcript is spliced from 3 exons.
GCAUCAUUUAAGGUGUGUUUAUGCUUACCUUAAAAUCAUUUUUGAUGUGACUCACAUUUUUAUGCUCUUGUUGUAUCAUGUUUCCAUUGUAUUGCAAAUUCCAAUUAGAUUUUUCCUCUAGUGCACAAUACAUAAUAAGCUGGCCUCCUGAU